This is a long non-coding RNA of Labrus bergylta (ballan wrasse), 1257 nucleotides long. RefSeq lists it as uncharacterized. Lineage: Eukaryota; Metazoa; Chordata; Actinopteri; Labriformes; Labridae. The record is from RefSeq and is a predicted model, not a curated record.
GUCCAGCCACAACAGCGCUGCAGCGGCGCACUUGUGCUGACUUAAUCGGCGGCGUAUUAGAAACACGGUGCCCUUACCUUUUGUUGAUAAUCCAUCAUGAGGCUGUGUGUGGGUGCCACUCCUGCAGAAGACGCUCUCUCUCUCCUCUCGGUGCUUUCCCAACACAAAUUCCCCCACACUUUGCUCAAGUGAUGUCCUGAAAGUAAUCCCCGGCAUCCAGGAGUGUGAUGAUCCCUCAUUUUCACGCACACAGAAACCAUUUUCAGCUACAUUAACAUGGCGCACACAGAGAGGAGGCUGCGCUCUGCCCUCAUUUUGGAUAAAGAAAAUUACGCGCGUAAACAGUCCCCCAAACGUCCCCAAAAAAAAAACAACAGUGCACAUACAAAGAUCCAAGAAAAAGGUUGUGUUACUAGUGUUAAGUGAAUGUGCGGGGGGAAAAAACAGCAGCUGCAAUAUAACCUCAUGGGAAAUAAGUUCCCAUUCCUGCUGUCCACAUGACCGCCAGCAACCAAUCCCAGAGCCGCGCGAGUCGUAAACUUCCACAGCAAAGUUGUAAAUUCUCAUAAACAGCCGCCGUUUUUUGUGCUUUAGACGCGCUUUCUCAUCGCCAUCUUUAUUUUAUAUCCGAGGCCUGAGAUGUGUAAAUGUGAAGCAGGAUUCUUAAGAAGAAGAGAGGGAAGAAAAGGGAAAUGUGAGGAUGUUGGAAGUGUGAGGGUGACAUUGUGCGUCAUGCGCACCUGGUUCUGUUCCUGCACUGAAGCUUUGUGUGACAUAAUUCACCCUCAGAGCUCUCCUCCCGUCCCGGAGAUCUACUUAAUCCAGGAGCGGAUUAAAUGCAGACACCCCCACUGCCCCCUCGCUCCUGCUUUAUGGUCACUGGCCUUUUCCGUACUGGGGGGCUCUGCGGGAGGAGUUUCUUACGAUGUGAGAGAAGCCAGGCCUCCGGACCAGGGGGGCACGGGUUGAGACGACAAGCAGGCUCUGCAGGGCAGCGGGGUCGUGGGACGCGAGGGAGCUGCAGCGGAGGCCUCCUCUGGGGAUGUUGUUUAUGAGCGGGAUGCCGGGACGGGACCUGGCGUCGGUGGUGCAGGAGCUGCUCAUGGCGUCCUGCCUCACAGAGAGAGGCCCGCCCGCCGCUGAGGAGGAGACAGACGCAGGAGUUUAAAAAGACAAUCAGGCUGUGAAGUCGUUUAGUUUGAAAACUUAACAGACCAUGUUGUUGUCUGACCUGAGAAUAAAGAGUUAAUUAAGUUG